GGAGGUAGAGCACUGUUUGGACGAGGGGCCCCUCUCGGGUUACCGAAUUCAGACAAACUCCGAAUGCCAAUUAAUUUAACUUGGGAGUCAGAACAUGGGUGAUAAGGUCCGUGUUCGAAAGGGAAACAGCCCAGACCACCAGCUAAGGUCCCAAAAUAUAUGUUAAGUGGAAAAGGAUGUGGCGUUGCCCAGACAACUAGGAUGUUGGCUUAGAAGCAGCCAUCAUUUAAAGAGUGCGUAAUAGCUCACUAGUCGAGUGACACUGCGCCGAAAAUGUACCGGGGCUAAACAUAUUACCGAAGCUGUGGAUUGUCCUUUGGACAAUGGUAGGAGAGCGUUCUAAGGGCGUUGAAGCAUGAUCGUAAGGACAUGUGGAGCGCUUAGAAGUGAGAAUGCCGGUGUGAGUAGCGAAAGACGGGUGAGAAUCCCGUCCACCGAUUGACUAAGGUUUCCAGAGGAAGGCUCGUCCGCUCUGGGUUAGUCGGGUCCUAAGCUGAGGCCGACAGGCGUAGGCGAUGGAUAACAGGUUGAUAUUCCUGUACCACCUAUAAUCGUUUUAAUCGAUGGGGGGAC
Molecule: ribosomal RNA, 573 nt
Filed under: Staphylococcus aureus
Lineage: Bacteria; Bacillati; Bacillota; Bacilli; Caryophanales; Staphylococcaceae
Description: partial 23S ribosomal RNA
Rfam family: Bacterial large subunit ribosomal RNA
Source: RNAcentral